GACGAACGCUGGCGGCGUGCUUAAUACAUGCAAGUCAACUGAACUUGAGGUAGCAAUAUCACAAGAGAGGUGGCGCACGGGUGAGUAACACGUAGGUAAUCUGCCUUUAGGUCUGACAUAAUUCCGCGAAAGCGGGACUAAUAUCAGAUGAUGCAGCGGCUCGACAUCGAGACAGUUGUUAAACCUUCGGGCCUAAAGAUGAGCCUGCGUCUGAUUAGGUAGUUGGCGGAGUAAAAGCCCACCAAGCCUGCGAUCAGUAGCUGGUCUGAGAGGAUGAUCAGCCACACUGGAACUGAGACACGGUCCAGACUCCUACGGGAGCAGCAGUAAGGAAUAUUGCUCAAUGGCCGAAAGGCUGAAGCAGCAACGCCGCGUGGAGGAUGAAAUUACUUUUGUAUGUAAACUCCUGUAAGAAGGGAAAAU
Molecule: ribosomal RNA, 423 nt
Filed under: uncultured bacterium
Lineage: Bacteria
Description: bacterial SSU rRNA
Rfam family: Bacterial small subunit ribosomal RNA
Source: RNAcentral